This 293-nucleotide ribosomal RNA is filed under the name uncultured bacterium. Its description in RNAcentral is "partial 16S ribosomal RNA". It matches the Rfam family "Bacterial small subunit ribosomal RNA", at positions 775 to 1067 of the family's 1533-position model. The record is from RNAcentral.
GGAUUAGAUACCCUGGUAGUCCACGCCGUAAACGAUGUCUACUAGCCGUUGGGGUCCUUGAGACUUUAGUGGCGCAGUUAACGCGAUAAGUAGACCGCCUGGGGAGUACGGCCGCAAGGUUAAAACUCAAAUGAAUUGACGGGGGCCCGCACAAGCGGUGGAGCAUGUGGUUUAAUUCGAUGCAACGCGAAGAACCUUACCUGGUCUUGACAUAGUGAGAAUCUUUCAGAGAUGAGAGAGUGCCUUCGGGAAUUCACAUACAGGUGCUGCAUGGCUGUCGUCAGCUCGUGCCG